UUGAAAGGGAAACGAUUGAAGUCAGUCGUACCGAUGAGAAAUCAACUUUUUUGAGUGCGAUUUUGUGGAUCGUGAAGAGCUUAACGGCCUUCUUAUUUGCAAAUUUGUGCUCUUGGGGUGUACUUGCUCGUAUGGUAAGUCAACAUCAAUUUUGAUCGUUAUAAAAUGAUUGGGGAAAUGUAGCUUCGAUCUCGUAUUGAAGUGUUAUAGACCCUGAUAGAUGUAACGAUUGGGAUUGAGGAUUGCAAUGAAUGCCCUUCGAGGCUAUUCGUCUGAUCUCUGGAGGUCACUUUGGUGUCGAAAGCUUGCUUUCGGCGUUAAGGAUGGCUAUCAAAAGGUUAGAACGGGAUUAAAUUCUUUAAGGAUGUUAACGUAAAUCACUAGCCACCUAAUUAA
This 396-nucleotide ribosomal RNA is filed under the name uncultured Glomeromycotina. RNAcentral describes it as "eukaryotic LSU rRNA". The record is from RNAcentral. Lineage: Eukaryota; Fungi; Glomeromycota.